AGUGGGGAAUAUUGGACAAUGGGCGAAAGCCUGAUCCAGCCAUGCCGCGUGUGUGAAGAAGGUCUUCGGAUUGUAAAGCACUUUAAGUUGGGAGGAAGGGCAGUAAGUUAAUACCUUGCUGUUUUGACGUUACCGACAGAAUAAGCACCGGCUAACUUCGUGCCAGCAGCCGCGGUAAUACGAAGGGUGCAAGCGUUAAUCGGAAUUACUGGGCGUAAAGCGCGCGUAGGUGGUUUUGUAAGUUGGAGGUGAAAUCCCCGGGCUCAACCUGGGAACUGCCUCCAAAACUGCAUGACUAGAGUACGGUAGAGGGUGGUGGAAUUUCCUGUGUAGCGGUGAAAUGCGUAGAUAUAGGAAGGAACACCAGUGGCGAAGGCGACCACCUGGACUGAUACUGACACUGAGGUGCGAAAGCGUGGGGAGCAAA
Molecule: ribosomal RNA, 427 nt
Filed under: uncultured Pseudomonas sp.
Lineage: Bacteria; Pseudomonadati; Pseudomonadota; Gammaproteobacteria; Pseudomonadales; Pseudomonadaceae
Description: bacterial SSU rRNA
Rfam family: Bacterial small subunit ribosomal RNA
Source: RNAcentral